GCUCGCUUGGUGAAAUAGGUAAACACUGCAGACUUAAAAUCUGUUCCUCUUUGGUUAUCGGUUCAAGUCCGAUAGUGAGCA
This 81-nucleotide transfer RNA is filed under the name Candelaria pacifica. Its description in RNAcentral is "tRNA-Leu". It matches the Rfam family "tRNA". Rfam says of the family: Transfer RNA (tRNA) molecules are approximately 80 nucleotides in length. Their secondary structure includes four short double-helical elements and three loops (D, anti-codon, and T loops). The record is from RNAcentral. Lineage: Eukaryota; Fungi; Ascomycota; Candelariomycetes; Candelariales; Candelariaceae. RNAcentral also lists the same sequence under 1 other name.